Molecule: transfer RNA, 65 nt
Filed under: Daboia russelii (Russell's viper)
Lineage: Eukaryota; Metazoa; Chordata; Lepidosauria; Squamata; Viperidae
Description: tRNA-Ala
Rfam family: tRNA
About the family: Transfer RNA (tRNA) molecules are approximately 80 nucleotides in length. Their secondary structure includes four short double-helical elements and three loops (D, anti-codon, and T loops). Further hydrogen bonds mediate the characteristic L-shaped molecular structure. tRNAs have two regions of fundamental functional importance: the anti-codon, which is responsible for specific mRNA codon recognition, and the 3' end, to which the tRNAs corresponding amino acid is attached (by aminoacyl-tRNA synthetases). tRNAs cope with the degeneracy of the genetic code in two manners: having more than one tRNA (with a specific anti-codon) for a particular amino acid; and 'wobble' base-pairing, i.e. permitting non-standard base-pairing at the 3rd anti-codon position.
Source: RNAcentral
AGAGUUUUAGUUUAGUUAAAAUGUCUGUGUUGCAAUCAGAAGAUGUAGUGAGGCUGCAAACUCUA